Long non-coding RNA from Oncorhynchus kisutch (coho salmon), 4011 nucleotides. RefSeq lists it as uncharacterized. The transcript has 4 exons. The record is from RefSeq and is a predicted model, not a curated record. Lineage: Eukaryota; Metazoa; Chordata; Actinopteri; Salmoniformes; Salmonidae.
CAUGCCGAGAGAGGAGUUUGGAUUGGUCUGCGGUGUUGCACUUGUGUCUCUCAAAAGAUACUGUAUAACACUAGCCAUGGAGAACUGCAAAUAUGUUACUACUGCUUUCAAUAACAUUUCUGCCCUGAAUUUAUCAGGCGCUAUCAACAAAGGUCAGUGGGGAAAAGUUGUGAUGGACUACUUUCUGGAGGACGAUCGUGCCAUGCUAACUCUCUCUGACUCUGAAAAUGAAUCAGACAAUGAGGAAAUCCCUGAUUUAGGUAAAAACGUUACAUGUCUUAACAAAAGAGUCCAAGUUAAAGCAUGCUGUAAACUAGCUAACGUUAGCGGAGGUUAGAUGGCUGGCUUGCUAACGUUACUCUAUGGAUUGGGAUUUUUGUUCAUUUUUUUAGCUAGCUAAUAUUACAUGUCUAAACAAAAGACUCCAAGGUAAAGCUUGCUGGUUACACCUGAAGCAUGAGGACUUGCUGCGAGUGGUGAACUUUACCAACAACUAUGCAGAGGAUAAUACAAUAGUAUUACCAGGAUGCCACCCAGGACACAAACACUUUGGUGGAAAGCUGCUGCCAUCCCAUGUGACAAAAGCAGUGGUGUGGCGUCUCUACAAGGAAUCGAUGACAACACUUGAGGUAUGUGUAGUCGGGCUGUCUUCCUUCAGGAAUCUGUGGAGAAAAUUGCUGCCCCACAUCUCAAGCACUAAGCCGAGGGCAGACCUGUGCUGGCAGUGCCAGAGGAACAACUAUCAGAUCGGCCAAUCUGCCAGAAGCUGUUAAGUCAGCCAAGCUGAAGAAGCAAGAGCAACAUCUGCUUGUUCAGAGUGAGCGGUCUUGUCUACCAGAAGGUGGUUGCUGACUGCAAGACCAGCUGUCAAGACCUGCAGUUGUCUCAGUGGGCCCCUACUGAACCAGGAAGCAAAGACAUCAGGAUGCAUUGCAUCUUUAAUUUUGCUCAACAAGUGCACUAUCCUUCUGACCCUAUGCAGCCAGGUCCAGUCUACUUUUUAACUCUUCGCAAGUGUGGCUUGUUUGGUGUCUGCUGUGAAGGAAUACCACAAGUCAACUACUUGAUUGAUGAAUGCAUGUCAUCCAGCAAAGGCAGCAGUACAGUCAUCAACUACAUGCACCAUUGUUUCACCAACUACAGAGUUGAGGAAACACGUGUGGACCUGAAUUGUGAUAACUGCAGUGGCCAAAACAAGAACAAGUUUGUGCUUUGGUAUUGUGCCUGGUGGACCAUACACUAGCUCCACCACGGUCUGGACCUUCACUUCCUGAUCACAGGCCACACCAAGUUUGCCCCCAACUGUUGCUUCGACCUCAUCAAGCAGCGCUUCAGAAAGACCAGAGUGAACACUGUCUGAGAUUGCUGUCCUUCACAACACCAGCACUGUGACGGGUCAACAUCUCACAGCUGGUUGGACUGGAGGAUGGUACGGUACUGGUGGAAAGCUAUGGCUGGCAACAACACCUGACUUCGUAUGACUCCAUACUUCAGGCCACUGCCACAGAUCAAGCAGUACCAGCUCCUCAGCUUCGAUGCUCUGGAGUCUGGUGUUGUCGCCAAGGAGCGUUCGGUUGGAGCGCUCAGUUGGGACCAGGUUUCCAACGCUGACAUUCUUCCUCCCAUAGAUGGUCUGCCUGUACAAGCACCACCUGGACUGGAUACAGCUAGACAAACUUAUAUUUUUGAGAAGAUCAGGGAGUUUUGCGAUGAAGAGGCUAUGGACAUCACAUGCCCUGCACCAAAGUCAAGGGCAGGACAUAAACGGGCUCUCUGAAUAUAGAUUCCUUUGUUCAUGCAUGGUUCGGAUGGACCAGUCAUCAGCACUACCUCUAUUCAAAUUACUCUCAGUACAUUGCUGCUACAAUUUCUUUUAUCCUGCUGCUAACUCUCGUCUAUCACUGAUAUCGUUAUUGAUAUUGUUCUUGUACAUACUGUAUAUUUUAUGUAUAUUGACAAUAUAUCUAUUUCUGAUAUUGCAAGUAACCAUUUGGCUGUACCGUGUACACCUUCUGUAGAGACCAGUCACUUAGCAAGACUUAGCAAAAUAUUGAUAUGUGUGGUCGUAACAUGACUUGACAUACCACAAAAAUAUGUGACCGUAUCACGUGUCCACCACAAAUAUGGCGCAUUAAUCUGUUUAUAUACUGUACAUGUGCACCUCACGCAGGUUUCAAAUCAGGUUGCAUGGCCUUAACUUAUGUGAUAUGUGUAACAGUAUAUAAAGUAUGCUAAUGUACUGGUGUGAAGGCAUUUGGGCAGUGGUGUAAAAAUACUUCAAAGUACUACUUAAGUAGUAUCUGUACAUUACCAUUUAUAUUUGGCAAAUUUACUUCACUACAUUUGUAAAGAAAAUAAUGUACUUUUUACUCCAUACAUUUUCCUUGACACCCAAAAUGAAGGAAAGGUAGGAAAAGAAAAUUGUCCAAUUCAUACACUUAUCAAGAGAAUAUCCCUACUGCAUCUGAUCUGGCAGGCUCACUAAACACAAAUGCUUAGUUUGUAAAUUGUUGGAGUGUGCCGCUGGCUAUCCGUCAAUAUAAAAAUACAAUUGCGCCGUCUGGUUUUAUGAGGCAUUUAAAGUUAUUUAUACAUUUACUCAAGUAUGACAAUUUAGUACUUUUUCCACCACUAGAUGUGGCUGGGGGUUGUAGCAUUUAUUUCACAUGACCCAUCAAUGUAGACAAGUGUGUCUGGGAAUGUAUCAUCUAAUAUUUAGAACCUUUUUAUCUGGACACUGUUUACAUGGAAUUGUUCCUCAUUGUAGGCUACUACCACUUUUAGUCUUAAUCUUUACUACACACUGUUUAGCACAUGACCUCACAUGUGAAUCCUUAAAGAGAUGGGUGGGGCUGGUUUAAGAGGGUGUGAACAAUGCUGAAUGGGUGUAGACAAAGUAGAGCUCUCCAGUAUGUAACAACUUUCAAAGGCCCUUUUCUCAAAAGUGAGUUUAUCAACUUUCCCAUUGCUCCUAAAAAAUGCAGUGUAUGAUAUACCAUUUUGUAGCUCUGAGUCUCAGCUUUUAUCCAAUGUAAAAAAUAAAAAAUAAACUAUUUCAAAAUUUGCGACAUAAGACCGAUUUUAGCUGGUCAGUCACAAAUAGGACCUGCCUAGAGGUAGUUAACCGCCCAUCUCUGAUCUAUAUUUCCCAUUCUACAAAUUACCCCACAUUUAAAAAUAAAUAAAUAAUGAAUAUCAAUCUUCAGGUGGUUGAAGCUGAUUUACAAAAACCUUUCCAUCAUCUUAAUCUACAUAGGUAAGAUCUACUGUUUUUGCCUAGCAGCGUGAGCACAAUACUAACAUGACAACAUUUGAUUGUUUUUGUCAAGGGGCAUUUCAUUAUAACCUAUUCUCAUUUUAUGACUUAGCCUAUAUUCAACACUGUCCAGUAAUGCAUAGCCCUCAUUGAACUUGACAUUUAUUUUCAAAGAUACACUGAACCGCUAAUGGCGCUGGAGGGGGAUGGCUACAAUUUUAUAGGCUCCUAACCAACUGUGCUAUUUUGUUUGUUUUGUCAUUUUUUUGUACAUUAUGUUGCUGCUACUCUCUCUUAUGACCAAAAAGAGCUUCUGGACAUCGGAUGGACCAGUCAUCAGCACUACCUCUAUUCAAAUUACUCUCAGUACAUUGCUGCUACAAUUUCUUUUAUCCUGCUGCUAACUCUCGUCUAUCACUGAUAUCGUUAUUGAUAUUGUUCUUGUACAUACUGUAUAUUUUAUGUAUAUUGACAAUAUAUCUAUUUCUGAUAUUGCAAGUAACCAUUUGGCUGUACCGUGUACACCUUCUGUAGAGACCAGUCACUUAGCAAGACUUAGCAAAAUAUUGAUAUGUGUGGUCGUAACAUGACUUGACAUACCACAAAAAUAUGUGACCGUAUCACGUGUCCACCACAAAUAUGGCGCAUUAAUCUGUUUAUAUACUGUACAUGUGCACCUCACGCAGGUUUCAAAUCAGGUUGCAUGGCCUUAACUUAUGUGAUAUGUGUAACAGUAUAUAAAGUAUGCUAAUGUA